GAUGAACGCUGGCGGCGUGCCUAAUACAUGCAAGUCGAGCGAACAGACGAGGAGCUUGCUCCUCUGACGUUAGCGGCGGACGGGUGAGUAACACGUGGAUAACCUACCUAUAAGACUGGGAUAACUUCGGGAAACCGGAGCUAAUACCGGAUAAUAUAUUGAACCGCAUGGUUCAAUAGUGAAAGACGGUUUUGCUGUCACUUAUAGAUGGAUCCGCGCCGCAUUAGCUAGUUGGUAAGGUAACGGCUUACCAAGGCAACGAUGCGUAGCCGACCUGAGAGGGUGAUAGGCCACACGGGAACGUAGACACGGUCCAGACUCCUAAGGGAGGCAGCAGUAGGGAAUCGUCCGCAAUGGGCGAAAGCAUGACGGAGCAACGCCGAGUGAGUGAUGAAGGUCUUCGGAUCGUAAAACUCUGUUAUUAGGGAAGAACAAAUGUGUAAGUAACUAUGCACGUCUUGACGGUACCUAAUCAGAAAGCCACGGCUAACUACGUG
This 497-nucleotide ribosomal RNA is filed under the name uncultured bacterium. RNAcentral's name for it is "partial 16S ribosomal RNA". It matches the Rfam family "Bacterial small subunit ribosomal RNA", at positions 28 to 507 of the family's 1533-position model. The record is from RNAcentral.